RNAcentral lists this ribosomal RNA (506 nucleotides) under Levilactobacillus brevis. Its description in RNAcentral is "bacterial SSU rRNA". It matches the Rfam family "Bacterial small subunit ribosomal RNA", at positions 32 to 503 of the family's 1533-position model. The record is from RNAcentral. Lineage: Bacteria; Bacillati; Bacillota; Bacilli; Lactobacillales; Lactobacillaceae.
AACGCUGGCGGCAUGCCUAAUACAUGCAAGUCGAACGAGCUUCCGUUGAAUGACGUGCUUGCACUGAUUUCAACAAUGAAGCGAGUGGCGAACUGGUGAGUAACACGUGGGAAAUCUGCCCAGAAGCAGGGGAUAACACUUGGAAACAGGUGCUAAUACCGUAUAACAACAAAAUCCGCAUGGAUUUUGUUUGAAAGGUGGCUUCGGCUAUCACUUCUGGAUGAUCCCGCGGCGUAUUAGUUAGUUGGUGAGGUAAAGGCCCACCAAGACGAUGAUACGUAGCCGACCUGAGAGGGUAAUCGGCCACAUUGGGACUGAGACACGGCCCAAACUCCUACGGGAGGCAGCAGUAGGGAAUCUUCCACAAUGGACGAAAGUCUGAUGGAGCAAUGCCGCGUGAGUGAAGAAGGGUUUCGGCUCGUAAAACUCUGUUGUUAAAGAAGAACACCUUUGAGAGUAACUGUUCAAGGGUUGACGGUAUUUAACCAGAAAGCCACGGCUAACUA